RNAcentral lists this ribosomal RNA (497 nucleotides) under uncultured bacterium. Its description in RNAcentral is "partial 16S ribosomal RNA". It matches the Rfam family "Bacterial small subunit ribosomal RNA", at positions 28 to 507 of the family's 1533-position model. The record is from RNAcentral.
GAUGAACGCUGGCGGCGUGCCUAAUACAUGCAAGUCGAGCGAACAGACGAGGAGCUUGCUCCUCUGACGUUAGCGGCGGACGGGUGAGUAACACGUGGAUAACCUACCUAUAAGACUGGGAUAACUUCGGGAAACCGGAGCUAAUACCGGAUAAUAUAUUGAACCGCAUGGUUCAAUAGUGAAAGACGGUUUUGCUGUCACUUAUAGAUGGAUCCGCGCCGCAUUAGCUAGUUGGUAAGGUAACGGCUUACCAAGGCAACGAUGCGUAGCCGACCUGAGAGAGUGAUCGGCCACACGGGAACGGAGACACCGUCAAGACUCCUGCGGGAGGCAGCAGUAGGGAAUCUUCCGCAGUGGGCGAAAGCCUGACGGAGCAACGCCGCGUGAGUGAUGACGGUCUUCGGAUCGUAAAACUCUGUUAUUAGGGAAGAACAAAUGUGUAAGUAACUAUGCACGUCUUGACGGUACCUAAUCAGAAAGCCACGGCUAACUACGUG